Molecule: ribosomal RNA, 995 nt
Filed under: Phyllosticta capitalensis
Lineage: Eukaryota; Fungi; Ascomycota; Dothideomycetes; Botryosphaeriales; Phyllostictaceae
Description: SSU rRNA
Rfam family: Eukaryotic small subunit ribosomal RNA
Source: RNAcentral
AUUAAAUCAGUUAUCGUUUAUUUGAUAGUACCUUACUACUUGGAUAACCGUGGUAAUUCUAGAGCUAAUACAUGCUAAAAACCUCGACUUCGGAAGGGGUGUAUUUAUUAGAUAAAAAACCAAUGCCCUUCGGGGCUCCUUGGUGAUUCAUGAUAACUUAACGAAUCGCAUGGCCUUGCGCCGGCGAUGGUUCAUUCAAAUUUCUGCCCUAUCAACUUUCGAUGGUAGGAUAGUGGCCUACCAUGGUAGCAACGGGUAACGGGGAAUUAGGGUUCUAUUCCGGAGAGGGAGCCUGAGAAACGGCUACCACAUCCAAGGAAGGCAGCAGGCGCGCAAAUUACCCAAUCCCGACACGGGGAGGUAGUGACAAUAAAUACUGAUACAGGGCUCUUUCGAGUCUUGUAAUUGGAAUGAGUACAAUUUAAAUACCUUAACGAGGAACAAUUGGAGGGCAAGUCUGGUGCCAGCAGCCGCGGUAAUUCCAGCUCCAAUAGCGUAUAUUAAAGUUGUUGCAGUUAAAAAGCUCGUAGUUGAACCUUGGGCCUGGCUGGCCGGUCCGCCUCACCGCGUGUACUGGUCCGGCCGGGCCUUUCCUUCUGGGGAUCCGCAUGCCCUUCACUGGGUGUGUCGGGGAACCAGGACUUUUACUUUGAAAAAAUUAGAGUGUUCAAAGCAGGCCUUUGCUCGAAUACAUUAGCAUGGAAUAAUAGAAUAGGACGUGCGGUCCUAUUUUGUUGGUUUCUAGGACCGCCGUAAUGAUUAAUAGGGAUAGUCGGGGGCAUCAGUAUUCAAUUGUCAGAGGUGAAAUUCUUGGAUUUAUUGAAGACUAACUACUGCGAAAGCAUUUGCCAAGGAUGUUUUCAUUAAUCAGUGAACGAAAGUUAGGGGAUCGAAGACGAUCAGAUACCGUCGUAGUCUUAACCGUAAACUAUGCCGACUAGGGAUCGGGCGAUGUUAUUAUUUUGACUCGCUCGGCACCUUACGAGAAAUCAAAG